This 3684-nucleotide long non-coding RNA is filed under the name Sus scrofa (pig). Its description in RNAcentral is "lncRNA (ENSSSCG00025034533.1)". Lineage: Eukaryota; Metazoa; Chordata; Mammalia; Artiodactyla; Suidae. The record is from RNAcentral.
AUAGCUUGUUGGUGGUGCAGCCAGGAGUCCAGCCUGGAGAGUGAUCAGUAGCCAGCAGUUGGGGUGGAAAGGGCAUUGGACGUGGGGUCAGAGGCUUGGGUUGGAAUCCUGGAUCAAUCGCUGACCAGACGGGAACUCCGGUUCUUGGUUUCUUGAUUCUGUAUCUUCUGUCUGAGGAUAUUCUCUGACCCUGAAGUUCCCUUUAGCUGUCUUCUCUAAACAGACUCUAGACCAUUUCAUUCCUAGGACACCAGGGUUAAGAUUUUCCCUCUGCUGCCUCUGGCUUCCAAAUCGAUUGUAUCAGUCAAAAUUCUUGACAGCAACAGAAGCUGCCUGGAUGAUGAAAUGGAAAAAUAAUGUAUUAGCAAAAAUAUAGUGUUGUUGGCAGGGUAGGGGACCACGUCAGAGGCGAAGCUUCCAGAGGUAACUCCCAAAAAGGAGCUGGCCAGUUGAAGAAAACCAUGGUGCUGCCGCCAGGGACCAGCUGCCACUUCUAUGCCAGAACCUUUCUGCUGCAGCUUCUUUGCCGUUGCCUGAGAGUGAGUGCUGCUCUCUGUCUCUUUUGGGCACCUGGUUCUCAGGCAGGCAGGUGUGGGUCCAUCCCACUGGUGGAAAUGGGUGACAUGCUGAGAGGGCUGGGAAACGUUCUCAGCUUGCAGAGGGAAGUGGUUUUUCCCCCCAGUGAGACGUCUAAAGUGGUGAAUCUUCCAGACAUUGAAGGAAAGUCAAAUGCUUGGUGGCCACAAUGACUUUUAGGGCCCCACUUGCUGCACAUGGAAGUUCCUGGGCUAGGGGUUGGGUGGGAGCUGCAGCUGCAGGUCUACACCACAACCAGAGCAAUGCGAGAGCCUUAAGCCACUGAGUGAGGCCAGGUAUCGAACUCACAUCCUCAUGGAUACUAGCAGGGUUCUUAACCCACUGUGCCACAAUGGGAACUGUGAAUUUUUAGGGCUACACUUUUCUUUUUCUUUCUUUGGCCACCCCAUAGCAUAUGGACUCCCCAGGGCCAUAUGCUGAUCCGAGCUGCCGCAGUUGCAACCGAGGGCUCAGCUGCGGCAAUGCUGGAUCCUUUAACCCACAAUGCCCCACUGUGCUGGGCCGUGGAUGGAAACUGCGUUCUGGCCAAUCCCAUUGCACCACAGUGGGAACUCCCCACAAUGACUGUCCAGUGUCCACUGUCUAAUUCUCAUCCAGGAUGGCCUCAGGGUUUCACCCAGUCUGAGGUGCUGGAGAAGGAGGUAUGGGAUCAAGUGGAUGGCACUUGCUGGGAGAAGAACAGGGAAGCCAGAAAGAUGCUCUUGUUCAGUUGGAUGUCUUAUCACUACUUAAGGAUGAUGUCAGAAGUCAAGGAUGGGGAGAGGCAGGGAAUAUUCAUGUGGACUAGUUCAAGGAGGUAUUAGUUUUUUCUCUUCUAUAAGGCAUCCAGGGUGUAAGACUACACUGUGUUUCUGGGAGAAAACGAAAUCCAAAGGCCAGCUAAACCCUGUCCUGGGCUCUGGGUAGAUCAUUUAGUUGGAUUUCAAGUUCAUAGACAUCUGCCUUCAUGACUGACAUGGACCUCUGACUACUGGUGUUGCCAUGGCAAUGACCCUGCUCAGGGAUCCAGAACAAUCUAGAAGCUGUUAAAUGCUCUUCCCCAUAGGCAGCAUUCCCUUCCAUUCUACCCUGUCCUAAUAACUUGUGCUCCGAUAAUGAGUCUGGGGUGUGGGGGAGGCCGUAAGAUAUAGAUUUACCUCUUUUAUAGCCAACCCUUUCUUCCAGGAAGCCUGGUCUCUUUGAGGAGCUGCAUGGCUUCUGUGAGGCUGGGAAGGGGAGCAAUCGGUGAGGGAGCAGACAACCCCUGAGUCCCUUCAGGGUGAGGGGACCUGCCUCUUCACCAUGAGCCUCAGGGCCGUUGUCACCUCCUUGUUCCGAAGGGUGUAGAUGAUGGGGUUGAGCAUGGGCGUGAUGACUGUGUAGAAGAGGCUGAGGAUGCGAUCCGUGGUGACAGAGGAACCUGCCUGCGGCCGGAUGUAGGUGACGCUGGCCGUUCCGAAGAAGAGGAGGACCGCGAGCAGGUGGGAACUGCAGGUGGAAAAGACCUUGUGGCGGCUCCGGGUGGAGGUCAUGGCCAGGAUGGCACCUAGGAUGCGGGUGUAAGAGGUGACAAUCAGAGAGAAGGGGACCAUGAUGAAGGCCACGGUGGCUGUCAUCACCGAGAUCUCGCUCCCGUGCUUCCCCGCACUGGCCCGUCUCAGUACCGGCAGGAUGUCGCAGAAGAAGUGGGGGAUGACUGGGUGGCUGGGGAAAGACAGGGUGAAGAUGAGGGAGGAAUGGGUGGUGGCUGUGACGAUGCCCAUGAGCCAGGAGACAGCCACCAUGACCAUGCAGGCCCGCCCGCGCAUGAGGGUGGAGUAAUGCAGCGGCCGGCAGAUGGCGGCAUGGCGGUCAUAGGCCAUGGCUGUGAGCAGGCAGCACUCUGAGAUGCCCAGGACGAUAAAAACAUACAUCUGGGCCGCACAGCCCUGGAAGGAGAUGGCGCGGGGGUGCGGGGAGGCCAGGUCAGCCAGGGUCCUGGGCACGAUGGUGGUGGUGUAGAGGAUCUCCACCACGGAGAGGUGGCGCAGGAAGAAGUACAUGGGGGAGUGCAGGGCGGGGCUGGCCCCUGUGAGGAGGAUGAUCAGAGAGUUCCCCAGCAAGGUGACCAGGUAAACCAGAAGCACCACCCAGAACAGGGGGCCCUGCAGAGCCCUGAGGUCAGAAAAUCCCAGCAGGAGGAAUUCAGGCAGAGUCUGAUUUUCUUUAGCCAUCCCUUCAGGCGGGACCCUAUGGCACACCCAAGAAAGAUAACAUUUAUGUAGAAACAAUCAGUUUUUCUGUAAGUAAAAAACACUUUUCCUAAGUUCCUCUCGAAUAAACUGAGAGAGUUAGGGUCUUCAUCUUUAUGGAUGAGGCCAUGGGUUACAUAGCUAAGGGUUAAAAUGCUUGCUGGAGGUCAUUUGGAGGGAGUGGCAGGCAUGGACUUGAAUCUAGGCUUCUUGACUCCAGAGUCCAUGAAUUUCCCACUGUUCCUUGCGCUCUGGGUCCAGUGUGCAAGGCCUGACUCCCACGUGUACUUUGAUUCUUUCUCCAGAGUGGGGCUGGAGCAGCUACUCCAUCCUAGGCCUCUGUAUGCCCUGGACAGAAACCCCAGCCUGAAAGAAAUGAUACAACACCCCUCCACCCCUUGACAGUGGACUCAGUUAGGGACUGUCCUAACCCUAUAUCUAAUGAUAACCAUGAUGGGCUAUGAAUUUAGAAUGUCAUGCAGUGAUGUGACUGCGUGUGGGAUAAUACUGCCCACUUGUCUCAUGCGGUAGGAUUUUAUGCCCUUUUUCAUAGCUCAUCAGGUUCUGGCACCUGCCCUGUGAGGGGAGUAGGGCAGGGACUGCCCAUGUUGGACUCCACUCUCCUUUUAUCUGGGCCCUGUGAUCAGUGAUACCAGCUGUCCACACUCCAUUCUCCCAGGCCACCAGGCACUUCCAUAGAGUGCCCUCUGCAGGGAGUGUUUCUAUGCAUCCUAUUAAAAUCCCACUCAUCCUUCAAGCUCAAGUUAUCUACCACCCUUACUGCAGCUUCUCUGCUCCUCCUGGUCAGAAAUAAACACCCAUGGCAUUUUGGGAUUAAAAGUGGCCUUAAGAAUGGAUAAAGAAGAUGUGGUAUAAU